RNAcentral lists this ribosomal RNA (535 nucleotides) under Orbilia sinensis. RNAcentral's name for it is "SSU rRNA". It matches the Rfam family "Eukaryotic small subunit ribosomal RNA", at positions 31 to 567 of the family's 1831-position model. Lineage: Eukaryota; Fungi; Ascomycota; Orbiliomycetes; Orbiliales; Orbiliaceae. The record is from RNAcentral.
UUUCUUGUCUCAAAGAUUAAGCCAUGCAUGUCUAAGUAUAAGCAAUCUAUACAGUGAAACUGCGAAUGGCUCAUUAAAUCAGUUAUCGUUUAUUUGAUAGUACCUUACUACUUGGAUAACCGUGGUAAUUCUAGAGCUAAUACAUGCUAAAAAUCCCGACCUCCGGAAGGGAUGUAUUUAUUAGAUAAAAAACCAAUGCCUUCGGGCUCUUUGGUGAUUCAUGAUAACUUAACGAAUCGCAUGGCCUUGCGCCGGCGAUGGUUCAUUCAAAUUUCUGCCCUAUCAACUUUCGAUGGUAGGAUAGUGGCCUACCAUGGUUUCAACGGGUAACGGGGAAUUAGGGUUCUAUUCCGGAGAGGGAGCCUGAGAAACGGCUACCACAUCCAAGGAAGGCAGCAGGCGCGCAAAUUACCCAAUCCCGACACGGGGAGGUAGUGACAAUAAAUACUGAUACAGGGCUCUUUUGGGUCUUGUAAUUGGAAUGAGUACAAUUUAAAUCCCUUAACGAGGAACAAUUGGAGGGCAAGUCUGCCCC